GCGAUGAGCCCUGAGACUCCGAAUGGGGCAACCCCUCCAGAGUGAUGUCUGGAGACCUGCAGGUCAAUCCAUAGCCUGCAGGGGGGCAGCGGGUGAACUGAAACAUCUCAGUAGCCCGACGAGAAGAAAUCAACACGAGAUUCCCAGAGUAGUGGCGAGCGAAAUGGGAGGAGCCCAAACCAGCGGCUCUUGCGAGCGGCUGGGGUUGUAGGACCAGCAGCAAAGCCCAAGCCCGAACGCGAAGGUGUUGGAAAGCACCGCCAGAGAGGGUGAGAGACCCGUAGCGAGCCAGGGCGGCGGCUGGACUGGCAUCCUGAGUACCACGGGGCACGAGAAACCUUGUGGGAAGCUGGGGGGACCACCCUCCAAGGCUCAACAUCUUGAGCGACCGAUAGUGAACCAGUACCGUGAGGGAAAGGUGAAAAGCACCCCGAGAGGGGGAUGAAACAGACCCUGAAACCGCGUACUCACCAGCAGUCAGAGGCCACUCCUGCAUGAGCAGGCAAGGGCUGAUGGCGUGCCUUUUGUAGAAUGAUCCGGCGAGUGCAUCGACGUUGCCUGGUUAACCUCCGCUAAAGGAGGGGAGCCGCAGGGAAACCGAGUCUGAAGAGGGCGCCCAGAGGUAGCGGCGAUGCGACCCGAAACCACGUGAGCUAUCCAUGGCCAGAGUGAAGCGGAUGUGAAAGUCCGUCGAGGCUCGAACUCACCAGUGUUGCAAAACUGGGGGAUGAGCUGUGGAUAGCGGAGAAAUUCCAAGCGAACGUGGAGAUAGCUGGUUCUCCCCGAAAUGCAUUGAGGUGCAGCCACGCACCAACUCAGAUGGAGGUAGAGCACUGGAUGGGCUCGGGGCCAAGUGCUGGUUACCAACCCCACUCAAACUGCGAAGACCAUCUGAAGAGCGGGCGUGAGUGAGACGGCGGGGGCUAAGCUUCGUCGUCGAAAGGGAAACAGCCCAGACCACCAGCUAAGGUCUCCAAAUCGAUGCUCAGUGUCAAAGGUGGUCAGGACGCUCAGACAGCCAGGAUGUUGGCUUAGAAGCAGCCAUCAUUGAAAGAGUGCGUAAGAGCUCACUGGUCGAGUGCCCUGGCGCCGACAACGUAGCGAGGCUCAAGCAUCGUACCGAAGCUGUGGAUGGUUAGUGCUCUCUUUCGCAAGAAAGAGCGCACGGCCAUGGUAGGGGAGCGUUGUGCGCCGCAGAGAAGCCAGAUCGUGAGAACUGGUGGAGCGCACACAAGAGCGAAUGCCGGAAUGAGUAGCGCAAUCAGUGUGAGAACCACUGACACCGCAAGCCUGAGGGUUCCUGGGCAACGUCAGACGACCCAGGGUCAGUCGGGUCCUAAGCCGAGGACGUUACAGUCGUAGGCGAUGGCAAGCAGGUGCGAUAGUCCUGCACCAGAGGCGAUCAUUAGGCAGUGAAGCGGGGACGCGGUAGGGAAGGUGAACCCAUCGAAUGGACAGGAUGGGCUGCCAGUGGGAAGUGUGAGUCGUGGGCAAGUCCGCGACUCGAGAGAGCAUGACCCCUGGCACGAGUUUGCGCAAGCGAGCGGAAGUCACCGACGCCCAGGCCGCCAAGAAAAGCCGCUAACGAGAUCGUCCUCUGCCCGUACCGCAAACCGACACCGGUAGGCCGGGGGAAGACCCCCAAGGUGAACGAGCCAACCUCUGUUAAGGAACUCGGCAACAUGACCCCGUACCUUCGGAAGAAGGGGUGCCCUAGUAGUUUCCUGGCUUCGCGCCAGGGGGUGAGGGGGCCGCAGUAAAUCGGCUCAAGCGACUGUUUACCAAAAACACAGGUCUCUGCGAACACGCAAGUGGAAGUAUAGGGGCUGACUCCUGCCCAGUGCCGGAAGGUUAAGAGGAGGGGUGUACGUAGCUCCCAAUCCAAGCCCCGGUGAACGGCGGCCGUAACUAUAACGGUCCUAAGGUAGCGAAAUUCCUUGUCGGGUAAGUUCCGACCCGCACGAAAGGAGUAACGACUUGAGCGCUGUCUCGACAGGGGGCUCGGCGAAAUUGAAGUACCCGUGAAGAUACGGGUUUCCCACGACAGGACAAAAAGACCCCGUGGAGCUUUACUACACCUUGGCCUUGAGACGAGGCGGUGGAUACGUAGCAUAGGUGGGAGUCAGAGAAGCACCCCUUGCGGGGGGUGUGGAGACAGCAGUGAAAUACCACUUUUCCACGGUGUUGUGUCUCACACCGACCCCUACAUCGGGGAGGUGGACAGGGCCAGGCGGGUAGUUUGACUGGGGCGGUCGCCUCCUAAAGAGUAACGGAGGCGCCCAAAGGUUCCCUCAGGGUGAAUGGACACCACCCUGAUAGAGUGUAAAGGCAGAAGGGAGCUUGACUGCGAGGCGAACAGGCCGAGCAGGGACGAAAGUCGGGCUUAGUGAUCCCACAUUCCCGAGUGGAAGGAGUGUGGCUCAACGGACAAAAGCUACCCCGGGGAUAACAGGCUUAUCUUGCCCAAGAGUUCACAUCGACGGCAAGGUUUGGCACCUCGAUGUCGGCUCGUCGCAUCCUGGGGCUGGAGUUGGUCCCAAGGGUUGGGCUGUUCGCCCAUUAAAGCGGCACGCGAGCUGGGUUCAGAACGUCGCGAGACAGUUCGGUCUCUAUCCGUCGUGGGCGUAGGAAGAUUGAGGAGCGUCAUCUCCAGUACGAGAGGACCGAGAUGGCUCGACCGCUGGUGCGCCAGUUGGGGUGCCCACCCCACAGCUGGAUAGCUAUGUCGAGAAGGGAUAAGCGCUGACAGCAUCUAAGCGCGAAGCCGCUCCCAAGAUGAGUCUUCCCACUUCGUUUGAGGAUAAGAUCCCAGGGAGAUUACCUGGUCGAUAGACCGUACGCAUACGCCUGGUAACAGGUUGAACGAAACGGCCCUAAUGAUCGAACGGCUUGUUU
RNAcentral lists this ribosomal RNA (2895 nucleotides) under Chloroflexota bacterium. RNAcentral describes it as "Chloroflexi bacterium partial 23S ribosomal RNA". It matches the Rfam family "Bacterial large subunit ribosomal RNA". Lineage: Bacteria; Bacillati; Chloroflexota. The record is from RNAcentral.